RNAcentral lists this ribosomal RNA (253 nucleotides) under uncultured bacterium. Its description in RNAcentral is "partial 16S ribosomal RNA". It matches the Rfam family "Bacterial small subunit ribosomal RNA", at positions 524 to 776 of the family's 1533-position model. The record is from RNAcentral.
UACGAAGGAUUCGAGCGUUAUCCGGAUUUAUUGGGUUUAAAGGGUGCGUAGGCGGACUAUUAAGUCAGUGGUGAAAGCCCCCAGCCUAACUGGGGAACUGCCAUUGAUACUGAUGGUCUUGAGUACAUUUGAGGUGGGCGGAAUGUAUCAUGUAGCGGUGAAAUGCUUAGAUAUGACACAGAACACCGAUUGCGAAAGCAGCUCACUAAACUGUAACUGACGCUGAGGCACGAAAGCGUGGGGAGCAAACAGG